RNAcentral lists this transfer RNA (83 nucleotides) under Oscillospiraceae bacterium. RNAcentral's name for it is "tRNA-Leu". It matches the Rfam family "tRNA". From Rfam's summary of the family: Transfer RNA (tRNA) molecules are approximately 80 nucleotides in length. Their secondary structure includes four short double-helical elements and three loops (D, anti-codon, and T loops). Further hydrogen bonds mediate the characteristic L-shaped molecular structure. tRNAs have two regions of fundamental functional importance: the anti-codon, which is responsible for specific mRNA codon recognition, and the 3' end, to which the tRNAs corresponding amino acid is attached (by aminoacyl-tRNA synthetases). tRNAs cope with the degeneracy of the genetic code in two manners: having more than one tRNA (with a specific anti-codon) for a particular amino acid; and 'wobble' base-pairing, i.e. permitting non-standard base-pairing at the 3rd anti-codon position. The record is from RNAcentral. Lineage: Bacteria; Bacillati; Bacillota; Clostridia; Eubacteriales; Oscillospiraceae. RNAcentral also lists the same sequence under 1 other name.
GCGGCCGUGGUGAAAUUGGCAGACACGCUGGAUUUAGGUUCCAGUGAGCAAUCGUGCAGGUUCAACUCCUGUCGGCCGCACCA